CCCUGGGUGGUACAAAUGGUUAUUGCAUUCAGCUGCUAACUGAAAUGUUGAAGGUUCGAGUCCAUCCUUAGAAG
This 74-nucleotide transfer RNA is filed under the name Loxodonta africana (African savanna elephant). It matches the Rfam family "tRNA". From Rfam's summary of the family: Transfer RNA (tRNA) molecules are approximately 80 nucleotides in length. Their secondary structure includes four short double-helical elements and three loops (D, anti-codon, and T loops). Lineage: Eukaryota; Metazoa; Chordata; Mammalia; Proboscidea; Elephantidae. The record is from Rfam by way of RNAcentral.